Molecule: unclassified non-coding RNA, 255 nt
Filed under: uncultured fungus
Lineage: Eukaryota; Fungi
Description: partial contains 5.8S ribosomal RNA and internal transcribed spacer 2
Rfam family: 5.8S ribosomal RNA (bases 1-131)
About the family: 5.8S ribosomal RNA (5.8S rRNA) is a component of the large subunit of the eukaryotic ribosome.
Source: RNAcentral
UGGUUCUCGCAUCGAUGAAGAACGCAGCGAAAUGCGAUAAGUAAUGUGAAUUGCAGAACAGUGAAUCAUCGAGUCUUUGAACGCAACUUGCGCCCUCUGGUAUUCCGGAGGGCAUGCCUGUCUGAGUGUACCGAUCGAUCACCCCAGGGUGGACUUGGGCUUGCCUCCGGCUCGCCUCAAAUGACGCAGUGACCUCAGGUCUCGUCACGAAAUCUUACACGAAAAGACCUCAGAUCAGGUAGGACUACCCGCUGA